This 72-nucleotide transfer RNA is filed under the name Camelus bactrianus (Bactrian camel). It matches the Rfam family "tRNA". From Rfam's summary of the family: Transfer RNA (tRNA) molecules are approximately 80 nucleotides in length. Lineage: Eukaryota; Metazoa; Chordata; Mammalia; Artiodactyla; Camelidae. The record is from Rfam by way of RNAcentral. RNAcentral also lists the same sequence under 2 other names.
GAGGGUGUAGCUCAGUGGUAGAGCACAUGUUUAGCAUGCACAAGGUCCUGGGUUCAAUCCCCAGGGCCCCCU